AUUGAACGCUGGCGGCAGGCCUAACACAUGCAAGUCGAGCGAGCGGAGGCCGGGUGAGUAAUGUAUGGGGACUGCCCGAUAGAGGGGGAUAACUACUGGAAACGGUAGCUAAUACCGCAUACUAUCGGAUAACCCAUAUGGGAUUAGCUAUUAGGUGAGGUAAUGGCUCACCUAGUCGACGAUCCCUAGCUGGUCUGAGAGGAUGAUCAGUCCAACUGGGACUGAGACCGUGCCCAAACUCCUACGGAAGCAGCAGUGGGGAAUAUUGCACAAUGGGCGCAAGCCUGAGAGAGCCACGCCGCGUGUAUGAAGAAGGCCCUAGGGUUGUAAAGUACUUUCAGUCGGUAGGCGUUACCGACAGAAGAAGCACCGGCUAACUCCGUGACAUCAGCCGCGGUAAUUC
This 403-nucleotide ribosomal RNA is filed under the name uncultured bacterium. Its description in RNAcentral is "partial 16S ribosomal RNA". It matches the Rfam family "Bacterial small subunit ribosomal RNA", at positions 30 to 526 of the family's 1533-position model. The record is from RNAcentral.